CGAAGCGAAGCAGUGAUGUGAAGCAAAUCGCACCAAAGCCGGUCCCAGUUCGGAUAAGAGGCUGAAACUCGCCUCUUUGAAGUCGGAAUCGCUAGUAAUCGCAGAUCAGCAUGUUGCGGUGAAUACGUUCCCGGGUCUUGUACACACCGCCCGUCAAGCCAUGGGAGCCGGGGGUGCUUGAAGUGCGUCGCCGCAAGGCGCGCCCUAGAGCAAAACCGGUGACUGGGGCUAAGUCGUAACAAGGUAGC
This 248-nucleotide ribosomal RNA is filed under the name uncultured bacterium. RNAcentral describes it as "partial 16S ribosomal RNA". It matches the Rfam family "Bacterial small subunit ribosomal RNA", at positions 1245 to 1500 of the family's 1533-position model. The record is from RNAcentral.